CGAUUGAGACCUGUAAUGUUAUUCUAUCCUUUUCUAGAAGUGGUCACAUAUUUUAAAAGAAUUCUGGCAAUUUUCGAAAUAUUUAUAUGCAUUUGACAUAUUGAUCGUAAAAAUCACGAAAUUUCAAAACAUGUGUUAAACAUAAACUUCGUUCAGAAUUGUAAUUUGUCAACGUUCAUUAUGUAUUGAUAUUAUAGAUUCAGUAAUUUCCCAUCUGGGAAUCUGUUGCAUAACCAUCAGCAGCAGAUAGUGAUACUGCUAUCAACUCGAUUUCGUAUUCAAUUUUAAAAUAUUAAACUAUGAUUUUAUUUCUAUA
Molecule: non-coding RNA, 316 nt
Organism: Cinara cedri
Lineage: Eukaryota; Metazoa; Arthropoda; Insecta; Hemiptera; Aphididae
Source: the annotation of a GenBank genome assembly